GCUUUAGUAGGAAGUAAAUUACCAAAAGUGUUGUUGUCCAGUAAGACUAUAUCUGAGGAAAAUAAAGUUAUCUUACCCAAAUUCAUUUCUCAUAAUGUCCACCUCUGCCUUCAUAAUUCUUAUUUUCUGAUAAAUCUCUUCUAUAUGGGUGCAUCCAGUAUUAAAAGAAAACCAUUCAGAAUCGACUUGCACAAAUGUGCAGUUACUUAAUAGAGACCAGCAGUACUGACCCAUCGGAUAGCUUGGAAGCAUACAAAUAUAACGAAAAUCCCCACCAAAUGGAAAAUGCCAACUGCUAUCACAUAGACCUCGGAGAAGGAAGACCUGGGGACUGAACUCUGGUCUCUGUUCUUCAUUCUGCAUUUCUUCCUGAGGGGCCUGGAGAGAAUCACACCCUUGGGCCAAACCAAUGUCUAACCUCCAUGUAUUGAUUUAUGAUUUUUCCUACAACUUCUGCUCUCCUGGAAUGUAUCCUUACCUUGAAAAACCCUUGCUUAUAAGCCAUCUGGGAGUUUGGGUCUUAAGCAUUAGCUGCCCGUCCUCCUUGCUUGGUUGGCACCAUGCAAUAAAUGCCGUUUUCUUUAACUGCAAAUCUUGAUGUCAGUGUCUGGCUUUCCUGCACUGGGCAAGAAGACCCCAGUUUGGUUUGGUGGCAGCUGUUUAUAUAAAACUUCCUGAAAUCCCCCCAUUGUGAACCUGGGAGUCAACAAAAACAACAAAGUGAAGCAGGUUAUAUAAUGGAGUUCCAUGGAAAAGUCAGGCGUGAGGGGAAACCGUCGUUUGAAGAAGGUGUCUGCUGAAGUCUCAAAUAGAAAAGCAGAGGGACACACUUGUUAAGGCAGCUCUG
RNAcentral lists this long non-coding RNA (847 nucleotides) under Homo sapiens (human). Its description in RNAcentral is "HSALNT0057794". Lineage: Eukaryota; Metazoa; Chordata; Mammalia; Primates; Hominidae. The record is from RNAcentral.